CUUAUCUGAUCGAACUAAAACUUAUUUUGCAUCUCCUGUCACAUGGUGAGGCCAAAAACAAUAUCCACAUCUAUGUAACAAACAAAAAACUGAUCAAAUAGAACAAAAGGGAACCAAUCACCAAACCAGAACCGCUUUUCCUUCAAAAAUGGUGAAGAACCACACAAAGAUCCAUCUGAAAUGGAAGUGCAUAAACAAUAAGCAAGGGGAAAGCCCAGGAAGAAGACAAUGACAGUAGAAAAAUAUUAUACUCCCUCUACAAUGCUUCACGUCCAACAACCAGACCAAGAUAGCCCCACCUUAAGCUCCGACUUUGGUAGAAUCAAAACUUAUUUUGUAUCUCCUGUCAAAGGGUGGGACCAAAAACAAUAUACACAUGUACGUAACAAACAAAAAAUAGAUUAAACAGAGCAAAAGGGAACCAAGCACCAAACCAGAACCGCCUUCCCACGAGAACUGGUUAAUUAGAACCCAAAGAUCAAACAUUUGAAGAUUAAAGAGCAUAACAAUAAGCAAAGGGAAAAAGUUCACCUAGAAGAUAAAUCACAAUAGAAAAAUAAUAUACUCCUGUUGACACCCACCAUAAACACUAUACCAAUGGCAGCAUCCAAGAUUGGUCCAUAUCCAAAUAACCAGACCAAGAUAGCCUCACCUUAAAUACCUAACUUUGAUGGAAUCAAAACCAAUUUUGUAUCUCCUGACACAGGGUGAGGCAGAAAACAAGGUCCAAGUCUACGUAACAAAAUAAAACUAUAAUAGAGAGCAAAGAUAACCAAGGAUCAAACCAGAACAGUCUUCCACAGAAGCCUGAUUAAGAAACACACAACGAUCCGGCAUCUGGAAAUUGAAAAGAAUAACGAUAAGCAAGGGAAAGUUUAGGUAGAAUAUAAAAUUUAGUAAAAAAGUUACAAUACUAUACUCCCUAUGCAACCCUUGAUAAACACUAUAUCAAUGACAGCGUCAAAGGUUGCUCCGUGUCCAACAAUCAGACCAAGAUUGCACCACCAUAAGCUCCUACUUUGAUAGAAUCAAAACUUAAUUUAUAUUUUGUGUCAUAGGGUGAUGCAGAAAACAAUAUCCACGCCAACGUAACAAACAAAAAACUGAUGAAAGAGAAAAAAGAUAACAAAGCAUCAAACCGAACAGCCUUCCAAUUAAGAACCACAACGAUCAGAAAUCUGAAAAUUGAAGAGUAUAACGACAAGCACCGGAAACUCUAGGUAGAAGAGAAAAUAUAGUAGAAGAAAAUGUAGUAUAACAAUCUGCAUCCCUCAAUAAACAUUAUAUCAAUUGACAUCUUAUAUUAGUCCGCAUCCAACAACCCCACCAAGUUGGCCCCCACCUUAAGCUCCCACUUUGAUAGAAUAAAACUGAAUUUGUAUCUCCUGUCACAGGGUGAGGGCGAAAAAAAUAUCAAAGUCUACGUAACAAAAAAAAAAAAACUAUAAUAGAGAACACAGACAACCAAGCGUCAAACAAGAACUGCCUUUCAGAGAAGCUUGAUUAAGAACAAAACAGCAACCAAAGAUUUGUCCAUGUCCAAAAACCAGACCAAGAUAGCCCCCACCUUAAGCUCCUACUUUGAUAGAAUCAAAACCUAUUUUGUAUCUCCUGUCACAGGGUGAGGCUGAAAACAACAUCCAAGUCUACAUAACAGCAAAAGAACUAUAAUUGAGAGAGCAAAGAUAACCAAUUAUCAAACCCGAACUGCCUUCCAGUUAAACUUGAUUAAGAACCACAUAAUGAACAGGCAUCUGGAAAUGGAAGAGAGACUAACAAUAACCACAGGAAAGUCUAGAUGGAAGAUAAAUUGUAGUAGAAAAAAAUACUAUAUUAUACUCCCUCUGCCAUCCUCGAUAAACACUAUAAUUGACAGCGUCAAAGGUUGAUCUGUGGCCAAUAUAACUAAACCAAGAUUAGCCCCACCUUGAGCUCCUACUUUGAUAAAAUCAAAACAAAAUUUUUAUCAUCUGCCAUAGGAUGAGGCAGAAAUACAAUAUACACGUAUACGUAACAAACAAAAAAACUGAUGAUAGAGAGAAAAGAUAAACCCAGCAUCAAACCAGAAGUGCCUUCAAGUAAAGAACACCUGGAAAUUGAAGAGUAUAACGAUAAGUAUAGGAAACUCAAGGUAAAAGAGAAAACGUAAAAAAAAAAAAAAUAACUAUACUGUACACCAUCUGCCACCCUCGACAAACACUAUAUCAAUGAUGGCAUCAUAGAUUAGUCCAUAUCCAAAAACCAGACCAAGAUAACCCCCACCUUAAGCUUCAACUUUGAUAGAAUCAAAACCUAUUUUGUCUCCUGGCACAGGGUGAGGACCAAAACAUUGUCCAAGUCUACAUAACAAAUAAACAAUAAUUACAGAGCAAAGGUGACCAAUUAGCAAACCAGAACAGCCUUCCCGUGAAGCUUGAUUAAAAACCACACAGCGAUCAGGCAUCUGGAAAUUGAUGAGAACAACGGUAAGCAUGGGAAAGUCUAGGUAGAAGAUAAAAGAUAGUAAAAAAAAAAAAAACUAUUCUAUACUCUCUUUGCCAGGCCCACACCACUAUAUCAAUGACAGCAUCAAAGGUAGAUCCGUGUUCAAUAACCAGGCCAACAUUAGCCACACCAUAAGCUCCUUCUUUCAAAACUUAAUUUUUAUCUCCUAUCAUAGGGUGAGGCAGAGAACAAUAUCCACGUCUACAUAACAACAAAAAAUUGUUGAAACUGACAAAAGAUAACCAAGAAAACAAGAAGUGCCAUCCAUUAUGGAAAUUGAAGAGUAUAACUAUAAACACGGGAAACUCUAGGUAGAAGAGAAAAUGUAGUAGAAAAAAAAAAUACUAUUAUGUAUUUCCUUUGCGACCCUCGAUUUACAAUAUACCAAUGAUAACAUCAAAGAUCUGUCCGCGUCCAAAAACCAGACCAAGAUAGCCCCCACAUUAAGCUCCUACAGUGAUGGAAUCAAAACCUAUUUUGUAUCUCCUGUCACAGGGUAGGCCCAAAACAAUAUCCAAGUCUAUAUAACAACAAAAGAAAUAUAAUAGAGAGAUCAAAUGCAACCAAUUAUGAACCCAGAACUGCCUUCCAGUUAAGCUUGAUUAAGAACCACACAACGAUCAGGCAUCUGGAAAUUGAAGAGAAUAACAAUAAGCACGGGAAAGUCAAGAUGGAAGAUAAAUUGUAGCAGAAUUAAUACAAUACUAUACUCCCUCUGACACCCUCGAUAAACAUUAUAUCAGUGACAGCAUCAAAAGUUGAUAUGUCUCCAAUAACUAGACCAAGAUUAGCCCCACCAUAAGCUGCUUCUUUCACAACUUAAUUUUUAACCCCUGUCACAAGGUGAGGCAGAAAACAAUAUCCACGUCUACGUAACAAAUAAAAGAUUGUUGAAACUGACAAAAGAUAACCAAGCAUACCAGAAGUGCCUUCCAGUUAAGAACCACACAACAAUCAGACAUCUGGAAAUUGAAGAGUAUAACUAUUAGCACGGGAAACUCUAGGUAGAAGAGAAAAUGUAGUAGAAAAAAAAUACUAUUAUGUACUCCAUGUACUCCCUUUACCACCCACAUUAAACUAUAUCAAUGACAGCAUGAAGGAUUUGUCAGUGUACCAAAAACCAGACCAAGACACGCCCCCACCUUAAGCUCCUACUUUGAUAGAAUCAGAACCUAUUUUGUAUCUCCUAUCACAGGGUGAGGCUGAAACCAACAUCGAGUCUAAAUAACAACAAAAGAACUACAAUAGAGAGAGCAAAGGUAACCAACUAUCAAACCCGAACUGCCGUCCAGUAAGCUUGAUUAAGAACCACACAACGAUCGGGCAUCUGGAAAUGGAAGAGAAUAACGAUAAGCACCGGAAGGUCUAGAUGGAAGAUAAAUUGUAUUAGAAGAAAUACUAUACUAACUCCCUCUGCCACCCUCGAAAAACAUAUCAUGACCAUCAAAGGAUUGAUUGUGUGCAAUAACUGACUAAGAUUAGCCCUACCUUAAGCCCUACUUUGAUAAAAUUAAAACUUAAUUUUUAUCUCAUGUCAUAGGGUGGGGCAGAAAACAAUAUCACGUCUAUGUACAAACAAAAAUUGUUGAAAUGACAAAAGAUAACCAAACAUCAAACCAGAAGUGUCAUCCAGUUAAGAACCACCCCACGAUCAGACAUCUGGAAAUUGAAGAGUAUAUCUAUAAGCACGGGAAACUCUAGGUAGAAGAGAAAAUGUAUAGAAAUAAAAAUACUAUUAUGUACUCCCUUUGCCACCCUCGAUUAACACAAUAUCAAUGACUCAUCAAAGAUCUGUCCGCGUCCAAAAACCAGACCAAGAUAGCCCCCACAUUAAGCUCCUACAGUGAUGGAAUCAAAACCUAUUUUGUAUCUCCUGUCACAGGGUAGGCCCAAAACAAUAUCCAAGUCUAUAUAACAACAAAAGAAUAUAAUAGAGAGAUCAAAUGCAACCAAUUAUGAACCCAGAACUGCCUUCCAGUUAAGCUUGAUUAAGAACCAAACAACGAUCAGGCAUCUGGAAAUCGAAGAGAAUAACAAUAAGCACGGGAAAGUCAAGAUGGAAGAUAAAUUGUAGCAGAAUUAAUACAAUACUAUACUCCCUCUGACACCCUCGAUAAACAUUAUAUCAGUGACAGCAUCAAAAGUUGAUGUCUCCAGUAACUAGACCAAGAUUAGCCCCACCAUAAGCUGCUUCUUUCACAACUUAAUUUUUAACUCCUGUCACAAGGUGAGGCAGAAAACAAUAUCCACGUCUACGUAACAAAUAAAAGAUUGUUGAAACUGACAAAAGAUAACCAAGCAUACCAGAAGUGCCUUCCAGUUAAGAACCACACAACAAUCAGACAUCUGGAAAUUGAAGAGUAUAACUAUUAGCACGGGAAACUCUAGGUAGAAGAGAAAAUGUAGGUAGAAAAAAAAUACUAUUAGUACUCCCUUUACCACCCACUAUUAACACUAUAUCAAUGACAGCAUGAAGGAUUUGUCAGUGUCCAAAAACCAGACCAAGACAGCCCCCACCUUAAGCUCCUACUUGAUAGAAUCAGAACCUAUUUUGUAUCUCCUAUCACAGGGUGAGGCUGAAACCAACAUCCGAGUCUAAAUAACAACAAAAGAACUACAAUAGAGAGAGCAAAGGUAACCAACUAUCAAACCCGAACUGCCGUCCAGUUAAGCUUGAUUAAGAACCACACAACGAUCGGGCAUCUGGAAAUGAAGAGAAUAACGAUAAGCACCGGAAGGUCUAGAUGGAAGAUAAAUUGUAUAGAAGAAAUACUAUACUAUACUCCCUCUGCCACCCUCGAUAAACACACUAUAUAGUGACCACGUCAAAGGAUUGACUUGUGUGCAAUAACUUGACUAAGAUUAGCCCUACCUUAAGCUCCUACUUGAUAAAAUUAAAACUUAAUUUUUAUCUCAUGUCAUAGGGUGGGGCAGAAAACAAUAUCCACGUCUAUGUAGCAAACAAAAUUGUUGAACUGACAAAAGAUAACCAAACAUCAAACAGAAGUGUCUCCAGUUAAGAACCACCCCACGAUCAGACAUCUGGAAAUUGAAGAGUAUAUCUAUAAGCACGGGAAACUCGAGGUAGAAGAGAAAAUGUAGUAGAAUAAAAAUACUAUUAUGUACUCCCUUUGCCACCCUCGAUUAACACAAUAUCAAUGACUACAUCAAAGAUCUGUCGCGUCCAAAAACCAGACCAAGAUAGCCCCCACAUUAAGCUCCUACAGUGAUGGAAUCAAAACCUAUUUUGUAUCUCCUGUCACAGGGUAGGCUCAAAACAAUAUCCAAGUCUAUAUAACAACAAAAGAAAUAUAAUAGAGAGAUCAAAUGCAACCAAUUAUGAACCCAGAACUGCCUUCCAGUUAAGCUUGAUUAAGAACCAAACAACGAUCAGGCAUCUGGAAAUCGAAGAGAAUAACAAUAAGCACGGGAAAGUCAAGAUGGAAGAUAAAUUGUAGCAGAAUUAAUACAAUACUAUACUCCCUCUGACACCCUCGAUAAACAUUAUAUCAGUGACAGCAUCAAAAGUUGAUAGUCUCCAUAACUAGACCAAGAUUAGCCCCACCAUAAGUGCUUCUUUCACAACUUAAUUUUUAACCCCUGUCACAAGGUGAGGCAGAAAACAAUAUCCACGUCUACGUAACAAAUAAAAGAUUGUUGAAACUGACAAAAGAUAACCAAGCAUACCAGAAGUGCCUUCCAGUUAAGAACCACACAACAUCAGACAUCUGGAAAUUGAAGAGUAUAUCUAUAGCACGGGAAAUUCUAGGUAGAAGAGAAAAUGUAGUAGAAAAAAAAUACUAUUAUGUACUCCCUUUCCACCCCGAUUAAACAUAUCAAUGACCAUAAGAUUGUCGGUCCAAAAACCAGACCAAGACAGCCCCCACCUUAAGCUCCUACUUUGAUAGAAUCAGAACCUAUUUUGUAUCUCCUAUCACAGGGUGAGGCUGAAACCAACAUCGAGUCUAAAUAACAACAAAAGAACUACAAUAGAGAAAGCAAAGGUAACCAACUAUCAAACCCGAACUGCCGUCCAGUUAAGCUUGAUUAAGAACCACACAACGAUCGGGCAUCUGGAAAUGGAAGAGAAUAACGAUAAGCACCGGAAGGUCUAGAUGGAAGAUAAAUUGUAUUAGAAGAAAUACUAUCUAUACUCCCUCUGCCACCCUCGAUAAACACACUAUAUCAGUGACCACGUCAAAGGAUUGACUUGUGUGCAAUAACUUGACUAAGAUUAGCCCUACUUAAGCUCCUACUUUGAUAAAAUUAAAACUUAAUUUUUAUCUCAUGUCAUAGGGUGGGGCAGAAAACAAUAUCCACGUCUAUGUACAAACAAAAUUGUUGAAAUGACAAAAGAUAACCAAACAUCAAACCAGAAGUGUCUCCAGUUAAGAACCACCCAGAUCAGACAUACUGGAAAUUGAAGGUAUAUCUAUAAGACACGGAAAUUGGUAGAAGAGAAAAUUAAGUAGAAUAAAAACUAUUAUGUACUCCCUUUGCCACCCUCGAUUAACACAAUAUCAAUGACUCAUCAAAGAUCUGUCCGCGUACCAAAAACCAGACCAAGAU
This 7053-nucleotide long non-coding RNA is filed under the name Salvia miltiorrhiza (redroot sage). RNAcentral describes it as "long non-coding RNA (SMIL_LNC005898)". The record is from RNAcentral. Lineage: Eukaryota; Viridiplantae; Streptophyta; Magnoliopsida; Lamiales; Lamiaceae.